RNAcentral lists this ribosomal RNA (848 nucleotides) under Afrorhytida knysnaensis. Its description in RNAcentral is "partial 16S ribosomal RNA". The record is from RNAcentral. Lineage: Eukaryota; Metazoa; Mollusca; Gastropoda; Stylommatophora; Rhytididae.
GAAAAAAGAAGAUCUAUCUACGAGAAUUUAUUAGAAUUAAUUAUAGUAAUAUAACAAAUAUUAUUUCAUUUACUUUUAGCUAGGGGUGAAAUUCCUACAAUUCUUUCAUAUCUGGAUUUAUAUUAAAUAUACUUAGUAUAGGAAAAAUUCCCAGGUUUAAAAUGUUAAGAUUUUAAAUAUAUCUUCAAAUAUUAGUUCCUUUACCUAUAAGUGUUAACCCUCUUAUAAAAGUCUAAAUAAAACUUAAUUUAAGUUUGUUAAGGUUUCUAAUGUAAUAAUUAUUUUAAUUAUUUAAUCUUUAAAUAAUGUUUAGAUUAGUAAUUUUAUUAAAUUACAGUAAGAAACUCGGCAAAAAAAUUCUUCAACUGUUUAACAAAAACAUAGCUUAGCGAUAAAAAAUUUAUGUUAAGUUAAUUCUGCCCAGUGAUUUAUUUAACGGCCGCAGUACCUUGACUGUGCUAAGGUAGCAUAAUCAGUGGGCUUUUAAUUGGAGUCUAGUAUCAACGAAAAUUAGGAGAAUAACUGUCUCAUUAUAAUUGAUUUUAAGUUAUUUUAAAGGUGAAAAUCCCUUUACUUACCCACAUAGACAAGAAGACCCUUAGAAUUUUUACUAAAUAUAAUUUUAAUAUAGUAGUUUUUGUUGGGGCGACAAGGUAACAGAUAACUUACCUCUAACUAAGAUGACUGGUCGGAUGUUUUAAAGAAAGAUGAAAUUACCUAAGGGAUAACAGCAUAAUAUUAUUUUGAUUGUGACCUCGAUGUUGGAUUAGGUAAUAUAAUAGCUAGUAGUUAUUUUAUUAGGUUCUGUUCGAACUAUCUCACCUACAUGAUCUGAGUUCAGACCGGUG